UACGUAGGGUGCAAGCGUUAAUCGGAAUUACUGGGCGUAAAGCGUGCGCAGGCGGUUAUGUAAGGCAGUUGUGAAAUCCCCGGGCUCAACCUGGGAACUGCAUCUGUGACUGCAUAGCUAGAGUACGGUAGAGGGGGAUGGAAUUCCGCGUGUAGCAGUGAAAUGCGUAGAUAUGCGGAGGAACACCGAUGGCGAAGGCAAUCCCCUGGACCUGUACUGACGCUCAUGCACGAAAGCGUGGGGAGCAAACAGG
RNAcentral lists this ribosomal RNA (253 nucleotides) under uncultured bacterium. Its description in RNAcentral is "partial 16S ribosomal RNA". It matches the Rfam family "Bacterial small subunit ribosomal RNA", at positions 524 to 776 of the family's 1533-position model. The record is from RNAcentral.